GCCAGCCACGAGGCGAGUGGUUAGUGCGAGCGCGGUGCUGUCCUUCGCAACUCCUCGGGUGGUAUUUAGUGACAGUGAGGUUAUCUGCAGGGAGGCCUCGGGAAGCAUGGGGUGAGGGGGCCUGCAGCAAGGCUAAAAGCGUACGAGAGAGGAAAGCAGGACAGACACUUGAGAAAGAGAAAGGCCACAAAAUAAGUAACCCUAAAAGAAGAUAGAAAAUAUUCACAUUGAAGAAACAUUUAUCUUAAAAUAAUACUGGAGAGAAAAGAGGGGUAACGGAGCGGAGGACUCAACCCCAGCCUGCAUUGUACAAAAGAGAGAACGUGAUCCCAAGUCAUUGCAACAAAGAGCAAGAAAAAAGAAUAAGCUUAUGGUUACAUAUCCACAUACUGUUACACAGACUGACCUAAGGAGAAAAUUUAAAGACAAUGUGAAAGGCUCAGCUCUUACCACUCUGCGUUCAACAGACAUAUUUUCCUUCACCCCCAACCUGGGUGUGGGGAUGGGUCACUGCAAGCAGGAGGGAGAAUGUCACUGCUUGUGGCUCUGCUGGUUGACUUUGACUGUGAUACAGCUCAACUGCUCCGCAGCCCCAGAGAAGAUGGAAAGGAGCCUGGGUUAGAUAAUGCCUGGCAUGAACAGAGGAGUAAAAUCUGAGAAACAGAGAUUCUGUAAACAAAUUUUUCAGAGGCAGGUAGCAACAUUUGAACAAAAUCCCUGAUAAGGAAGUGAUUCCUACCAAAUUUUGAAUCAGUUGCAAAAGAAGAUGACAUUAUAAUUUUUCCAAGGGUGGAUGGUAAAAUGUCACAUGGUGGUUUGUUUUUGUAAAUACUUAAAAACCCUUUUUUUCCUAUUCUGAUUUUCAAGGGUAGAUGUUUGACAAGAAUCUAUGUCCCUUACAUAAACAAUCACAACAUGAGUCAUACAUAUACCCGUCAUCACAUUUUUGACUAAAGUGAUUGAAGUUUGUGAAGUUAGCAAGUAAUUGAAAAUAAGGUUUUUAAUGGACAGUAUCAGAUAAUCCCCAAAGUGGUGCUGCAACCUAGGCAAAACACAGGAAGCGUUUAUUCAUUUGUGCAACUAGUGAAGCUUUCUCAAGUUCCCCAUGUUUAGCUGCUAGUUGCUUAAGUUUGGGGAACAGAAGGCAUGUUGUAUACAUUCUAAUAGAAAUUAUCUUGAGGAUUUGGAGGAGUCUUAAAGACAAAUUCUUAUUCAAGUCUAAUGAUACUUAAUAAUAACAGCUCUUGUUUAAGGUAGGUGAUAAUUCCACUUCAUGAGAACAUUUACCAAUGACUGUCUCUUUUUAAGUCCUCUCAUCAUUGCUUUUAGUAUUUCUUUGGCUGUGACACAUGCAUAGAAAUCUAAUUGUAGUUGUUGCUACCUUUCAGGCCAUGUGAACUUGUUAACUGCUAUGAUCCAAUAGG
Long non-coding RNA from Athene cunicularia (burrowing owl), 1424 nucleotides. RefSeq lists it as uncharacterized. The transcript is spliced from 3 exons. The record is from RefSeq and is a predicted model, not a curated record. Lineage: Eukaryota; Metazoa; Chordata; Aves; Strigiformes; Strigidae.